GACGAACGCUGGCGGCGUGCUUAACACAUGCAAGUCGAACGGAAAGGCACUGCUUUUGUGGGGUGCUCGAGUGGCGAACGGGUGAGUAACACGUGAGUAACCUGCCCUUGACUUUGGGAUAACUUUAGGAAACUAGGGCUAAUACCGGAUAGGAGCUCCUGCUGCAUGGUGGUUGCUGGAAAGUUUCGGCGGCUGGGGUAGGAGUCGCGGCUUAUCAGUUUGAUGGUGGGGUUGUGGCUUACCCAGGCUUUGACGGCUAGCCAGCCUGAGAGGGUGACCGGCCACAUUGGGACUGAGAUGGGGCCCAGACUCCUACGGGGGGCAGCGGUGGGAAAUAUUGCACACUGGGCGGAGUGCUGGUGCAGCAACUCCGCGUGCUGGAUGACGGCCUUCGGGUUGUAACCCGCUUUCGCGUGUAACGUUGCGAGAGUGACGGUAUUUUGUAAAGAAGCGACGGCUAACUACGUG
This 468-nucleotide ribosomal RNA is filed under the name uncultured bacterium. RNAcentral's name for it is "partial 16S ribosomal RNA". It matches the Rfam family "Bacterial small subunit ribosomal RNA", at positions 28 to 507 of the family's 1533-position model. The record is from RNAcentral.